This 253-nucleotide ribosomal RNA is filed under the name uncultured bacterium. Its description in RNAcentral is "partial 16S ribosomal RNA". It matches the Rfam family "Bacterial small subunit ribosomal RNA", at positions 524 to 776 of the family's 1533-position model. The record is from RNAcentral.
CACGUAAGGGACGAGCGUUGUUCGGAUUCAUUGGGCGUAAAGGGUGCGUAGGCGGCGCGGUAAGUCGGGUGUGAAAUUUCGAGGCUUAACUUCGAAACUGCAUUCGAUACUGCCGUGCUUGAGGACUGGAGAGGAGACUGGAAUUUACGGUGUAGCAGUGAAAUGCGUAGAGAUCGUAAGGAAGACCAGUGGCGAAGGCGGGUCUCUGGACAGUUCCUGACACUGAGGCACGAAGGCCAGGGGAGCAAACGGG